AUCCAAGCAUAUCAGCACAAACAACUCAUAUCAACUGUCUAGCGUGGUGGUGGAGGCGUGAUAAUUGGGGCUUAUUUUGCAGCCAAAGUACCUGGAAAACUUGCAGUCAUUGAGUUGACCAUCAACUCCUCUGUAUAACCAACAGGGCCGGACUGGCCCACCGGGAUACCGGGAAAUUUCCCGGUGGGCCGCGGCACCUGGGGGCCGGCCGCGUUCCUGGG
Pelobates cultripes (western spadefoot toad) is the source of this 221-nucleotide non-coding RNA. The record is from the annotation of a GenBank genome assembly. NCBI's taxonomy places the organism in Eukaryota, Metazoa, Chordata, Amphibia, Anura, Pelobatidae.